RNAcentral lists this ribosomal RNA (253 nucleotides) under uncultured bacterium. Its description in RNAcentral is "partial 16S ribosomal RNA". It matches the Rfam family "Bacterial small subunit ribosomal RNA", at positions 524 to 776 of the family's 1533-position model. The record is from RNAcentral.
UACGGAGGGUGCAAGCGUUAAUCGGAAUUACUGGGCGUAAAGCGCACGCAGGCGGUUUGUUAAGUCAAAUGUGAAAUCCCCGGGCACAACCUGGGAACUGCAUCUGAUCCUGGCACGCUUGAGUCACGUAGAGGUGGGUAGAAUUCCAGGUGUAGCGGUGAAAUCCGUAGAGAUCUGGAGGAAUACCGGUAGCGAAGGCGGCCCCCUGGACGAAGACUGACGCUCAGGUGCGAAAGCGUGGGGAGCAAACAGG